RNAcentral lists this ribosomal RNA (484 nucleotides) under uncultured bacterium. RNAcentral's name for it is "partial 16S ribosomal RNA". It matches the Rfam family "Bacterial small subunit ribosomal RNA", at positions 30 to 507 of the family's 1533-position model. The record is from RNAcentral.
AUUGAACGCUGGCGGCAGGCCUAACACAUGCAAGUCGAGCGGAUGAAGGGAGCUUGCUCCUGGAUUCAGCGGCGGACGGGUGAGUAAUGCCUAGGAAUCUGCCUGGUAGUGGGGGAUAACGUCCGGAAACGGGCGCUAAUACCGCAUACGUCCUGAGGGAGAAAGUGGGGGAUCUUCGGACCUCACGCUCUCAGAUGAGCCUAGGUCGGAUUAGCUAGUUGGUGGGGUAAAGGCCUACCAAGGCGACGAUCCGUAACUGGUCUGAGAGGAUGAUCAGUCACACUGGAACUGAGACACGGUCCAGACUCCUACGGGAGGCAGCAGUGGGGAAUAUUGGACAAUGGGCGAAAGCCUGAUCUAGCCAUGCCGCGUGUGUGAAGAAGGUCUUCGGAUUGUAAAGCACUUUAAGUUGGGAGGAAGGGCAGUAAGUUAAUACCUUGCUGUUUUGACGUUACCAACAGAAUAAGCACCGGCUAACUUCGUG